AGACGUUGCUAGAGAAUUAAAAGCUAUUCUUAGGCCCUCACCAGUUCCUAACAAAACAUUAAGGUUGAGUUGUUUUUUUAAUAUGGUAUUAGACUCUCUGUGACCUACUUGUCCAUGUUCAAACUUUUGGUACCGUAAGCUUGUAAUUACAUUCAUCCACACGUUCUAACCAUAUGGGCUUUCAUGUGAGCACCCAUGUAACAAUU
RNAcentral lists this unclassified non-coding RNA (206 nucleotides) under Hevea brasiliensis (rubber tree). Lineage: Eukaryota; Viridiplantae; Streptophyta; Magnoliopsida; Malpighiales; Euphorbiaceae. The record is from RNAcentral.